GACGAACGCUGGCGGCGUGCUUAACACAUGCAAGUCGAACGGAAAGGCCCUGCUUUUGUGGGGUGCUCGAGUGGCGAACGGGUGAGUAACACGUGAGUAACCUGCCCUUGACUUUGGGAUAACUUCAGGAAACUGGGGCUAAUACCGGAUAGGAGCUCCUGCUGCAUGGUGGGGGUUGGAAAGUUUCGGCGGUUGGGGAUGGACUCGCGGCUUAUCAGCUUGUUGGUGGGGUAGUGGCUUACCAAGGCUUUGACGGGUAGCCGGCCUGAGAGGGUGACCGGCCACAUUGGGACUGAGAUACGGCCCAGACUCCUACGGGAGGCAACAGUGGGAAUAUUGCACAAUGGGCGGAAGCCUGAUGCAGCAACGCCGCGUGCGGGAUGACGACCUUCGGGUUGUAAACCGCUUUCGCCUGUGACGAAGCGUGAGUGACGGUAAUGGGUAAAGAAGCACCGGCUAACUACGUG
Molecule: ribosomal RNA, 467 nt
Filed under: uncultured bacterium
Lineage: Bacteria
Description: partial 16S ribosomal RNA
Rfam family: Bacterial small subunit ribosomal RNA
Source: RNAcentral